UGUUUUGGUCAUCUUGCCUCUCUGGUC
Molecule: non-coding RNA, 27 nt
Filed under: Rattus norvegicus (Norway rat)
Lineage: Eukaryota; Metazoa; Chordata; Mammalia; Rodentia; Muridae
Source: RNAcentral